GGGCCCGUCUGCGGCCCGCCCUCUCCCCCCAGAACCUUCCGCGCAGGAAAAGCCAUUUCCAACCCGAGUUUGGAAGGAGGACGCAUGGCUGCUGCCCAGCCACGGGCCUCUGGGGCCCCAAGAACUGACGUGGGCUCUUCAACCCUGGAGGCAUUUCAUAAACUUCUUACAACCAGAAAAUCAUAAUUACCAUCUCUGCAAUCAUUUCCCAUUUCUUUCCAACUGCCGUCUGUCAAGAGGUGCCGGCCGCGGAAACCCCGUGUACCUUGCGCAGUCACUAAUUAAUCCCAGAAGACGGCACCAGCUAAGUGGAAAUGCGUUAUUUGAAAAAGAUGGAAGGAAACCAGCCGCCAUAAGAAACCAGAGAGGGAGGGCAACUCUUUGCGUCACUGUGGAAAACCAAAACGAUGGAGGAG
This 416-nucleotide long non-coding RNA is filed under the name Equus caballus (horse). Its description in RNAcentral is "lncRNA (ENSECAG00000049557.1)". The record is from RNAcentral. Lineage: Eukaryota; Metazoa; Chordata; Mammalia; Perissodactyla; Equidae.